CAGAUAUUCAAGGAAAUGAAACUCUGUGAUCUCAUAACGGAAGCACCAAAACUAUGAACUAAUGAAACAUUUAUUCACCUACAGAAUGCCUCAGGUCUGGAUAGAAGAACCACUUCUAAUCAUUUCUGAGGAGCUGGAAAGAAAACCUCCCUUGAAUUAAAACUAAAAAGAGAGAAAGCUGGCAAAGAGUUAGGGAUAUAAGCUCUCAGUUGUUCAUUCACUCUAUCAUCAUGGAUUUUGACCCUCUUAAACUGUAUAUCAAAUGAAAUGUUUCCUUUGGCAUGGAUGGGUUCCCUCCUCUGGCGCAGAUCUGGAAUCCAAUCAGAGACCUGUUGCUUGCUCAUCUUGUGGUGGUUAACCAUUCUACAACUAAACACACUUAUGUUGACAGGCAGUGGCUUUAUUCUUUGAAGGCAGACAGCUAGCAGAGUUAAGUCUGUUUUCCAAAACAACCUGUGAGCAAAUAAAAGCAGAGGCUUGCAGCAGCAGGCAGGCAGGCAGAGAAUCUUGAUGCUGCAACAAUGAAGACAGUCCAGCCAUCUUGCUCUCUGACCAGAGAACAACUGAACGUACCUCCCUUGCAUGAAGGAGCUGCAGCCACAGACAGAUUUCAAGCCUUGCCUGUGAGCCUCUCAGCUGCUUGCUUCUGAGUCAGGUACUGCAUGCAUGUGUUGUGGACUCAUGCUUGCCAUUGUAGUGAAUAAACCUUAAGAUCAAAUGGU
Molecule: non-coding RNA, 722 nt
Organism: Mus caroli (Ryukyu mouse)
Lineage: Eukaryota; Metazoa; Chordata; Mammalia; Rodentia; Muridae
Source: RefSeq, a predicted model, not a curated record